Molecule: ribosomal RNA, 497 nt
Filed under: uncultured bacterium
Lineage: Bacteria
Description: partial 16S ribosomal RNA
Rfam family: Bacterial small subunit ribosomal RNA
Source: RNAcentral
GAUGAACGCUGGCGGCGUGCCUAAUACAUGCAAGUCGAGCGAACGGACGAGAAGCUUGCUUCUCUGAUGUUAGCGGCGGACGGGUGAGUAACACGUGGAUAACCUACCUAUAAGACUGGGAUAACUUCGGGAAACCGGAGCUAAUACCGGAUAAUAUUUUGAACCGCAUGGUUCAAAAGUGAAAGACGGUCUUUCUGUCACUUAUAGAUGGAUCCGCGCUGCAUUAGCUAGUUGGUAAGGUAACGGCUUACCAAGGCAACGAUGCAUAGCCGACCUGAGAGGGUGAUCGGCCACACUGGAACUGAGACACGGUCCAGACUCCUACGGGAGGCAGCAGUUGGGAAUCUUCCGCAAUGGGCGAAAGCCUGACGGAGCAACGCCGCGUGAGUGAUGAAGGUCUUCGGAUCGUAAAACUCUGUUAUUAGGGAAGAACAUAUGUGUAAGUAACUGUGCACAUCUUGACGGUACCUAAUCAGAAAGCCACGGCUAACUACGUG